CUUUAUCUCUCAAACUGUCUCUAGCCCAAUCUGAAACCCUAAUCAUUUCCCACCUGUUUCUACCAUGUUUUCACCAGAAUCCAUGGAGUUCCAAGCCAUGGGUGGCCUGGUCUCUCUCUCUGUCACCGCUAAACCUAAGCUACUCGAAGUUCGGAGGCCCGAUAUCAAUGGAUCUCAUUAGGUCUGUCUUAAGUCUGUAGAUCUACGGCCUCUUCUUCCAUUAUUCCGACGUGUUUGAGAAAUAAAAGUCUCUUCGACUCAGGAUCCGACUUUCCUCAGGACCUUUCUUAUUCUGAGGUUUUCUCUUAUUCUAAGCCAUCUUAGGGUCUGUACAUGCUUAUUUCUUUUAGAUCUUUGACAUGACUGGUCUUUUCUUGACUUUUCAAAGGGUUUCCCCAAAUUUCCUUUUUAAAAUCGCUCAAAUCCAAUUUUAGGGUUUCUGAAAAAGGAUUUCUUCAAAUACCUUUCCGAUUCUCCUAUUCUUUCUUUAUGUGUGCUUUUGAUUGAUUGUUUUCUUCUACCCACAUGAUUUUACUCUUUUGUCUCUUCUCUAUUAUGCAAGACUCUUCUAUUUUGCUCGCAUGAUUUGUGUUGUUAAUCCUCAAGCUUUGCUAUAUGUAUUUAUGUUGAAGCUCUUUGAUUUUAUUCACCUUACUGAGUUCUGUUUAUGUUCCUG
Molecule: long non-coding RNA, 676 nt
Filed under: Nicotiana benthamiana
Lineage: Eukaryota; Viridiplantae; Streptophyta; Magnoliopsida; Solanales; Solanaceae
Description: long non-coding RNA (NBEN_LNC009412)
Source: RNAcentral